CCUACGGGUGGCAGCAGUGGGGAAUAUUGCACAAUGGAGGAAACCCUGAUGCAGCGACGCCGCGUGGACGAAGAAGUCUUUCGGGAUGUAAAGCCCUAUCAGCAGGGAAGAGGAGCUGACGGUACCUGAGUAAUAAGCACCGGCUAAAUAUGUGCCAGCAGCCGCGGUAAUACGUAUGGUGCAAGCGUUAUCCGGAUUUACUGGGUGUAAAGGGCGCGCAGGCGGCACGGCAAGACGGAUGUGAAAGCCCCGGGCCCAACCGGGGGACUGCAUUGGGAACUGUCGGGCUGGAGUGCCGGAGAGGUAGGCGGAAUUCCUAGUGUAGCGGUGAAAUGCGUAGAUAUUAGGAGGAACACCAGUGGCGAAGGCGGCUUACUGGACGGUGACUGACGCUGAGGCUCGAAAGCGUGGGGAGCAAACAGGAUUAGAUACCCGAGUAGUC
Molecule: ribosomal RNA, 442 nt
Filed under: uncultured bacterium
Lineage: Bacteria
Description: partial 16S ribosomal RNA
Rfam family: Bacterial small subunit ribosomal RNA
Source: RNAcentral